Molecule: long non-coding RNA, 673 nt
Filed under: Elaeis guineensis (African oil palm)
Lineage: Eukaryota; Viridiplantae; Streptophyta; Magnoliopsida; Arecales; Arecaceae
Description: long non-coding RNA (EGUI_LNC036318)
Source: RNAcentral
GGGUCUUGCAGCAAUGAGGCCCACACUCAAAUUGAUCAGGGCGGCCUUGCAAAAGAAAAGGUCAAGCGUAUUUGGGGAGGAGUCUUCGAUGAGGAAAAAGUCGAGACCGACGGCUUCUACUCCGACUCCUCCAACUUCAUCGGCCCUUCCAAUGCCACCGACCUCUCAAUCAAUAGGAAACUCAAGCAUCAACCCCAUCGAGAUCAAUGACGUCUCUGAAGUCAUCAUGGUGCUACCGUUGAGGGUGGUUGGAAGAGCUACCCCAAAGUCAGUCUGAGCCCCAAUUCCAUCUUCCAUCCAUCGGACUCUAUUGCCAAUAAGGUCAAAGUUACUUCCUCUCUCCCCCAUCGUAAUGGCUACAUCAGUUUAGCAUAAAGCAGGGCCUUCCUCAUCUAUGAUCGAGAAAGAUUUUGCAACCCUCACAAAGAGGAUUUAAAGGGAUGAUUUGGUGUUCCAAAACCAUCAACUUAUGCAAGAGUUGAUGGGAAUGCUACUGCUGCCAUGGAACUAGUUCGAGACCAAGUCCCAACCUCUAAACAAGGCUUUAUCUACUUCAUUCAGCAAUCUUUUCAAGGUAAGUCCUUCACUUGAUUUUUAUUUUCAAUGCUUGUAUGAUUUUUGACUUUAGUUUCUCUUCAUAAGUGAUUCAUGACAUUGCCCACCUCGAUGAGGG